This is a non-coding RNA of 107 nucleotides. It matches the Rfam family "Bacteroidales small SRP". Rfam says of the family: The non-coding component of the signal recognition particle in Bacteroides The record is from Rfam.
AUUACACGGGUAAGUCCUGUACGGCCAGCUCCCUUUGAAUCCCCCAGGGUGGGAACGCAGCAAGGGUAUUAGGUUGUAGCGGCGCGAUGCAGAUCGCUUACCCACCC